UACGGCACUGAGAUCCAAUAACCAGUCUCUGUGGGAGUUCUGGGCAGACAGAAGCGAAGAUUUUAACCCCUUUCUUGAAUAGUGGAAACCUUACAAAUACUCCCUGAUCCUCCUGAAUAUGAAUAAGGAGAGAGAGAGAUGAAGCCAGAGGAAAUGGGCAAGUGUGAGGAAAGUUGGUGCACGUACUUCCAGUCCAGGAGGUCUGAGAGGCGCUCGGUGCGGUUCCUCUGGAUGAUCCUCUGGCGCCGGUUCUGCUGGCAAAACCCGUACAGGAACUGGGUCAGCUGGUUGCACGACUCAUCUGGUGAGCGGAACCUCCUGUCUACGAUGUAGAUCCCUGAGGGACACAAGAAAAGCUGAGAGUGGUACGGUCAAGUUCAAAGUGAUUCUGCAGGACCAAGGAACAGUCAGAGACGGUUUGAAGUUCAAAUUCCUUACUGACCAAAAGGCAGAAUGGAAACAUUUUUGCUUCCAGUAUAAUCUCACUAGCUGCUGCUGUCUGAAUUAGGGAAAAAAUAAACUGGCACAAAAAGGGGAGCUCAGAUAUUUGAGAAAGAAGGAUUUUGUUAAUUUAAGAGAAGACCGUGACACACGAGGAAGGACUUGGAGAGAGCUUCAACCUUAACACAACCAAGAAAGCAUUUUAAUUAACUUACCCAGAGAACCACAAAGCUACAAUAUCCUCCAGUAACCAGACUGUAAUGUGCUCCGACGCUGACAGCAUCGUCGCUCUGUAUGUCAAGAGGAUACACACCUAAAGAGGUCUUCUUACUGACCUCUUAAAAAAAUAGAUGAAACCAAAAUACUAUUUCAUACUAUUUCAUAAAAUUUCACAGAAUUAUUUUAUUUUAAAAGUCUAAACCUUUUUAUGUAUGUUAACACUACUAGAAUUUGUCUAAAAGAGUUCUCUGCAUCACUCCAGUGUUUUCUUUUUUCCAAGUCCUGCUGCAUUAUUUCUUUUGUAUAGUUAAAAUCCAAGCAGCAGUUAGAGCUUGUCCUUCUACCCACUCCACACUGCAGAAGGACAGAAGGAAGGAGAAGCAGAAACCAAAAAUGAGGGAGAGAAAUAGGAAGUGAACUAUGCAAGUGAGACAGAGGUAAGUGGAGAUUGUCACUGAUCCUUUCCCAUACACCUUUGCUACACAGAGAGAGCAUCAGGAUCAUUCCAGUGCUCUGCAGCUUCUUUGCUAUGUCCUGACCAGGCCACUCUGGAGGCAUUAAAGCUUCUCUGACAACCAUGAGAGCCACAGGAUCCAUGGGAACAAUGUGAGCCCGGGCUCAGGAUUCAAACUGCUACAAUCGCUCUCACAUCAAUUGUUUCACCAUUCUCCUCAGAAUGUGUCUUUGAUCUGAACAGGUGUGAUAAAAAUUUGGAUUGAACUUGUUUCUGACAUUUGACUGGAAUUUGAUUGAUUGAUUGUGUGUUGAGGUACCCUUAAUAAAAGUGGGUUGUAAAAUGUGUCAGGUGAAAAACAACCAGCAUCUUCAGCCAGCAGAUAUUUUUCCUGUGGUUUUUGGGCUAUGUUUGUGGCCAGGACUCCUCAGAAGACAGAUCUCCACAUUCUCUGAAAUUCUGACAUUCCAAACACGUUUUGAAAUAAUACUGAACCAUUAAACUUAUGACAGAUGUCCACAACUGAGAAGCUAUUUCUGUGUGUAUCAUCCCCAGCGCACAAGAUUUCAUUUGGAACUUAUUUGACAUUGAUAUUCCACCCCACUCUAUAAAUGCACAGAGCUCUGAGGCUGUGCUUAUGCCAAGUUUAUGCCAGCACAUCCCCACUCCCCAAAGGGUGUUACUUCAUCUGUGUCACAAAUUACAGUAAUCACCUUCUCCCAAGGAACUUUCAUCAUGGGAAGACACAGAGGAAGUAAAAUGCUGGUCCUACUGACUUCACUGGAUUCAGGAUUUAAUUUCCAAAAGUCCAGUUUUUCACCAGAGAAACCAAACCAAGAUCUCUGCUCCAAGGAGAGCUGAAAUAAGUUCUGUUUUUAGCACAGUCUUUGUUCCAAUGGGGAUGGAAUAAAAAUAUUUGAGAUUCCUCUACCAGUGACUCUUGAGCUAAGCUGUUCAUAGCUGAACGAUGACACAAGCUGGCUGUUUGCCCAGCAUUUUUAAGCAUUCUUCUACUUUCUAUCUGAAAGCUGUGAGUGGUACAGCAAGGGAUACUAAUCUCAAUAUCACUGGAAUUACUUUCAAGACAUCUUUCUAGAGAAAAGAGCACACCUUGAACAUUCUCACCCCUUUUAACCAAUGUGUCAGAAAUCCCACUACAGACAAACUCAAUCCAGGCCCAAAGUCUUCACAGCUUGGUAGCCACUUCUUUUGUGCUCCUAUACUUAAAGCUUUUAAUGGUCUUCAUACUACGGAGGAAAGAAACCACUCAUUUUUCCACAGCUGUAUGACCAGACCUUGCUUUACUAGAGCAUGAUGGCCAAGAGAGAAAGAAAGAUGAUCUCCCCCACGAUUACCACCAGAUUUGUGGCACUGCAGCGGACUGGGACCCUUCACUGCCUGCAUUUUUCCCCUUCUGCCACAAAAACACUGUAGAUCCACUUCACAUGGGGUUUUGCCCAUCACUGAAAAGCCAACUAAAGUGAGGGAAAUCUCACAAAAAAACCUAGGCAUUUCUUAUUUCUUUGGCAGAGGACUUUCAAGGCCAGAUGAUUUCAAUAUUGUUUUUUGGUUUAGGUGGCAAGUUCCCUCUCAUGACUUGGGGGAAGGGUGAGGGAGAGUGACAUCAGCAGAUGAGUCUUUUUUAUUUCCCUUUUUUUAUUUCUCCUUCAGCUACCUUCUCUUUGCUUGCUCAGACAGAGUAGAGUACAAGCUGUAACUGAGAGGCCAAUGUUUUCUGUGUCAGAGGUUGUAAAUUAGCACAGGCUGCAGCCAGGAAAGAAAAUGCAAAAAGGAAACAUGGAGAAGUAGAAACUCUGCCUUAUUAGAGCACAUUUUAAAUUAUCCAUUCUUAAAACAAAAGGAGACAACUUCCCUGUUCCAGCUGCUGACAAAGAAGAGAUGAGACUCUGAAAAUAACAGAUACCUAUAGAUCUCUGAGCCCUGAGUUCGUACAACCAUCUUCCCUACAGCUGCACCUCAUGCCUCAGUAACAACCAGCACCGUCAGGGAAAUGCCAUGGAAUGCUUGCUUCACUUCUACAGAAUCAAGUAUUCUCCAAUUUGCAGGAUCCCCUCACCAUCCCUGGCUCUGAAGAGGUUCAGCUCAGCACCUGUGAAGGUCAUUGGUUACAGUCUGUGGGGAUGGAUAUCCACCUGUGAGCUCUGUUACCACCUUCUUCACAGAAAAGAGGACAAUUCAGCCUGAUUGUCAGUGCCACAAGAGAAAUUGAGGGAUUAUUAAGAAGCAGCACUGGCCAAGGAGGAAAUUUAUCCAAUCACCUGGUAAUGCACCAAAAUUAACACAAAGGCUGGGACUCUCUCCUGUGGGCAGCAGCAGCUUUACACCACUUCAGAAAUGCAAACCAGCAGGCUGAGCUCCUCUGACAUUCCUUUGCAUUGCCAGAAAGGAAGAAAGAAACUUUCAUGUUAAAUGCUCAAAAUUAGCUUGUCAGGCAAAAAUCCAGAAAAUUUUUAUCUUGCCCUCUAUGUUACGAACAUAUGCAGCAGCGCAAACACUAAAAUAUGCACUAGAACUAAAUCUCUGGGUGGUCAGUUUAUUUCAUCAAGUAAACAAUUCCUCCUGCUAAAGGAGCUAGGAAAUAUACAUUACAAGCUAUUCUUUCCUAAGCCUAUAUAUCUUCUGUGAUGACUCCCUGUGUUUUGCUGUCUACUCUCUCUCACAGUGCCCUAACAUUUUCCCAGAAAUGUUUACAAAAGUUAGGUCACCAGGGAACAGUUCUCACCACAUGACUUAGACAUUCAAUUGCCUGGAAGAUAUAGAAAAAAAACCCCAAACCCUCAGUAUCAAGAAUUUGCCAGAAAAAUAGGAUGAAAAAGGAUUAUAAUAGAGAUUUUGCACAGAUGUUUCUAGUCAAGCUUGGUUAAUGGAAACUUUGCACAAGGUCAGAUUCUAAUGGAGAAAUUGUUUUCCAUUCCAUGUUCCUUCAUCCCUGUCUGAAUAUAUGGGCUUGGAAAGUGGUGUAAGCAAAGGCACAUUACUUUUAA
This is a long non-coding RNA of Passer domesticus (house sparrow), 4119 nucleotides long. RefSeq lists it as uncharacterized. The transcript has 4 exons. NCBI's taxonomy places the organism in Eukaryota, Metazoa, Chordata, Aves, Passeriformes, Passeridae. The record is from RefSeq and is a predicted model, not a curated record.